ACGCUCGACACCUACGGGAGGCAGCAGUUGGGAAUAUUGGACAAUGGAGGAAACUCUGAUCCAGUGACGCCGCGUGAAGGAAGAAGGUCUUCGGAUUGUAAACUUAUUUUGUCAGGGAAGAAAAAUGACUGUACCUGAAGAAAAAGCACCGGCUAACUACGUGCCAGCAGCCACGGUAAUCUGAGCGGGCUGGCAAGGC
Molecule: ribosomal RNA, 199 nt
Filed under: uncultured bacterium
Lineage: Bacteria
Description: partial 16S ribosomal RNA
Rfam family: Bacterial small subunit ribosomal RNA
Source: RNAcentral